ACAACAAAACCAACCAACCAAACAAAAACCCAAAGCAACACAGUCCACCAUGGUCGCAGGGAGCCGCAGCUCAGGCGCAGACAGAAUGGGUAGUGUUGUGAGAGUGACCCGCGCUGCAAGCUCCCCUUGCUGCACCGCCCACCAGCACUGCUCUGCCCCCAUCAGGUCCUGCCUGUGCACUGGUGAUGCUAUUCCCAGAGGAUGGGGAAAAGCUCACUCACCAGCUCCUCCUGGAUCUCCUGGGUGCGCCUGUUGAGCUGCGCGUUGUACUGAUGUUUCAAGAAACGCCUAAAGACAAGAAUCAGGCAGCUUCAGUCUUGCAUGGCCGAUUAAUAGUGGUACCCUACAGACCACACCCGUUUUGGUUCUCAGGAGAUCCCACAGAAGCCUGAGAAGGCAAGAGACCUGCCCUCUGGGGAGAGCCCUGGGCAUCCCCGACCCACCCCAGCUCUGUCUUGCGCCGGAGGGCCGCCAUCUGCUUCCUUUCCUCCUCCAGCCUUUCCAGCUCCCAGCGCUGCGUCAGCAGGUUCUCUUGUUCCUUCUUCAGUUUGGUUG
Molecule: long non-coding RNA, 555 nt
Filed under: Mus pahari (shrew mouse)
Lineage: Eukaryota; Metazoa; Chordata; Mammalia; Rodentia; Muridae
Description: predicted gene 42789 (MGP_PahariEiJ_G0003154.1)
Source: RNAcentral